AUAAAUUAAGUACUUAGUACAUAUCAUUUACAAUGAUAAGGACUAAAUUAUAGAGUUUAUAAAUAUUACUGUAAAAUAAUUCAUUUAUGUUAUUUACCUUUUGCAUAAUGGUUUAAUUAAAUAAUUAGUUUUAAAUUACCCGAAUUUAGAAGAUCUAAUUUUUUAGGACUAAGUUAAUAAUGUUUCAAAAUUAUAAUUUAAUAAAAAUUAGGAGUGAAAGGCCUAUCAAUUCUAAAGAUAUCUGGAAUAAUUUAAAAUGUAUUAAGUACAGAAUAAAGUUUGAAUAAAAAAAUGUUAAUUUUUUUAUAAAGAAUUAUUAUUAAAUUUAUUAAGAAUUAAUCUUCAAUUAAGAUCUAUAAAAUUAAUUAUUUAUUAAAUCUUUAAUUUAAAAUUAUAUUUAUAUUAAUUAAUAAAGAAAUUAUGUUAAAAUUAGUAUAAUAUUAUUAUUUAAAAAAGGAAUUCGGCUUUCAUCUGUUUAUCAAAAACAUAGUCUUAUGUAAAUAUAAGGUGAAACCUGCCCACUGAUUUUAAUGGCCGCAGUAAUUUGACUGUGCUAAGGUAGCAUAAUAAAUUGACUCUUAAUUGGGGCCUUGAAUGAAAGGGAUAAUGAAUAAUUUCUGUCUUUAAUAAAUAAAUUAAAAAUUACUUAAAAGGUGAAAAUUCCUUUAAAUAAAUAAAAUAGACGAGAAGACCCUAGGAGUUUUUUUGUUGGGGCGACAAUAUAGCAUAACCUAUAUAUUUAUAAUAACAAAAUGUUUUAAUAAUAAUUCAACUACCCUAGGGAUAACAGCAUAAUUUAAAAUUAAGUUUGUGACCUCGAUGUUGGAUUAGGAACUUUAAAGCUAACAGCG
RNAcentral lists this ribosomal RNA (851 nucleotides) under Mysticarion obscurior. Its description in RNAcentral is "LSU rRNA". Lineage: Eukaryota; Metazoa; Mollusca; Gastropoda; Stylommatophora; Helicarionidae. The record is from RNAcentral.